This 252-nucleotide ribosomal RNA is filed under the name uncultured soil bacterium. Its description in RNAcentral is "partial 16S ribosomal RNA". It matches the Rfam family "Bacterial small subunit ribosomal RNA", at positions 26 to 287 of the family's 1533-position model. The record is from RNAcentral.
AGGACGAACGCUGGCGGCGUGCUCAACACAUGCAAGUCAAGGGGGCCCAGCAAUGGGCAACCGGCGAACGGGUGCGUAACACGUGAGCAACCUACCGAACUGUGGGGGAUAGCCGGCCUAACGGCCGAGUAAUACCGCAUACGCUCUCAGAGAGGCAUUUCUUUGAGAGGAAACCUACGGGACAGAUCGAGGGGCUCGCGGCCUAUCAGCUAGUUGGCGAGGUAACGGCUCACCAAGGCAACGACGGGUAGC